This 74-nucleotide transfer RNA is filed under the name Acidithiobacillus sp. Its description in RNAcentral is "tRNA-Leu". It matches the Rfam family "tRNA". Rfam says of the family: Transfer RNA (tRNA) molecules are approximately 80 nucleotides in length. The record is from RNAcentral. Lineage: Bacteria; Pseudomonadati; Pseudomonadota; Acidithiobacillia; Acidithiobacillales; Acidithiobacillaceae.
GCGCCGGUAGCUCAGACGGAUAGAGCACCCUCAUCAGAAGGGGGAGGCCAAGGGUUCGAGUCCCUUCCGGCGCA